RNAcentral lists this ribosomal RNA (460 nucleotides) under uncultured bacterium. Its description in RNAcentral is "partial 16S ribosomal RNA". It matches the Rfam family "Bacterial small subunit ribosomal RNA", at positions 338 to 795 of the family's 1533-position model. The record is from RNAcentral.
CCUACGGGUGGCAGCAGUGAGGAAUAUUGGUCAAUGGGCGCGAGCCUGAACCAGCGAAGUCGCGUGAGGGAUGAAGGUUCUAUGGAUCGUAAACCUCUUUUAUAAGGGAGUAAAGUGUGGGACGUGUCCUAUUUUGUAUGUACCUUAUGAAUAAGGAUCGGCUAACUCCGUGCCAGCAGCCGCGGUAAUACGGAGGAGCCGAGCGUUAUCCGGAUUUAUUGGGUUUAAAGGGUGCGUAGGCGGCCUUUUAAGUCAGCGGGGAAAGUCUGUGGCGCAACCAUGGAAUUGCCGUUGAAACUGGGGGGCUUGAGUAUGUUAGAGGCAGGCGGAAUGCGUGGUGUAGCGGUGAAAUGCUUAGAUAUCACGCAGAACCCCGGUGGCGAAGGCAGCCUGCCAGGCCAUGACUGACGCUGAUGCACGAAAGCGUGGGGAUCAAACAGGAUUAGAUACCCCAGUAGUC